CGGGGUGUGGCUCAGCCUGGUAGAGCACCUGCUUCGGGAGCAGGAGGUCAGCGGUUCAAAUCCGCUCACCCCGACCA
This 77-nucleotide transfer RNA is filed under the name Candidatus Aminicenantota bacterium. RNAcentral describes it as "Candidatus Aminicenantes bacterium (hot springs metagenome) tRNA-Pro". It matches the Rfam family "tRNA". Rfam says of the family: Transfer RNA (tRNA) molecules are approximately 80 nucleotides in length. Their secondary structure includes four short double-helical elements and three loops (D, anti-codon, and T loops). Lineage: Bacteria; Candidatus Aminicenantota. The record is from RNAcentral.